GAUAAGCUGGGAAACUGGGUCUAAUACCGGAUAGGACCAUGCUUUAGUGUGUGUGGUGGAAAGUUUUUCGGUGUAGGAUGAGCCCGCGGCCUAUCAGCUUGUUGGUGGGGUAAUGGCCUACCAAGGCGGCGACGGGUAGCCGGACUGAGAGGUUGGUCGGCCACAUUGGGACUGAGAUACGGCCCAG
RNAcentral lists this ribosomal RNA (187 nucleotides) under uncultured Actinomycetales bacterium. RNAcentral's name for it is "partial 16S ribosomal RNA". It matches the Rfam family "Bacterial small subunit ribosomal RNA", at positions 142 to 334 of the family's 1533-position model. Lineage: Bacteria; Bacillati; Actinomycetota; Actinomycetes; Actinomycetales. The record is from RNAcentral.